RNAcentral lists this ribosomal RNA (240 nucleotides) under Triticum aestivum (bread wheat). RNAcentral's name for it is "partial small subunit ribosomal RNA". Lineage: Eukaryota; Viridiplantae; Streptophyta; Magnoliopsida; Poales; Poaceae. The record is from RNAcentral.
AUGGUUAGUAAUUUCCAGGAUUUUGAUCAGAUGCUUGUUCUUAAUCUAUUUUUGACUUUUGUUCACUCCAAAAUGCAGCAUACACCUGCCAUUGACAUCUGGAGCAUUGGGUUCAUUUUUGCUGAGGUGCUGACUGGAAAGCCUUUGUUUCCUGGUAAAAAUGCUGUCCAUCAGUUAGACUUAGGGACUGAUCUUCUAGGCACACCUUCAAUGUAUACAAUUUCUCGGGUACGGUACUAA